AGAGUUUGAUCCUGGCUCAGGAUGAACGCUAGCGGCAGGCUUAAUACAUGCAAGUCGUGGGGCAGCAGGGGUGUAGCAAUACACUCGCUGGCGACCGGCAAACGGGUGCGGAACACGUACGCAACCUACCCAAAACUGGGGAAUAGCCCGGGGAAACCCGGAUUAAUACCUCGUAACACCAUGAAGUGGCAUCACUAUAUGGUUAUAGCUCCGGCGGUUUUGGAUGGGCGUGCGCCUGAUUAGGUAGUUGGCGGGGUAACGGCCCACCAAGCCAGCGAUCAGUAACUGGUGUGAGGGCACGACCAGUCACACGGGCACUGAGACACGGGCCCGACUCCUACGGGAGGCAGCAGUAAGGAAUAUUGGUCAAUGGACGCAAGUCUGAACCAGCCAUGCCGCGUGAAGGAUGAAGGUCCUCUGGAUUGUAAACUUCUUUUAUAUGGGACGAAACCCGGGAAUUCCUUCCCGAUUGACGGUACCAUAGGAAUAAGCACCGGCUAACUCCGUGCCAGCCGCCGCGGUAAUAC
RNAcentral lists this ribosomal RNA (527 nucleotides) under uncultured bacterium. RNAcentral's name for it is "bacterial SSU rRNA". It matches the Rfam family "Bacterial small subunit ribosomal RNA", at positions 8 to 526 of the family's 1533-position model. The record is from RNAcentral.